CAGUGGCAAGGUGACGUUUGAGCAGACCUCUGAAGAGGCAAGGGAAGGAGCCACGUGAACAUCUCGGGUCCUGCCUGGUUCAGAUAUCCGCGCGGAAUGCAGGGGUUGGGCCAGCCUCCCUCGAUUCCCAGACACUCUCCGUCCACAGUGAGCAAGAGGUCCCCCGAGGGGAAUCUGUGGCAGGAAUGUGACCUCAAGGGUGGCCGCAUGCAGCCAGGAGGUGGUCCCGAAUGGAGAACGUGGCCAGGGCAGGCACGGAGAAGAGUUGGUUCUGAUGUGUGGCUGGCUGACCUAGAAGCAGCCAGAAGGGUGUGAGUCCAUCAACUCACCGCGCCCCACCCGGGGCCCCAGUGAUGGAUGGCAUCUGUCUUCUGCUUUAUUAAACUCACGCCGCUCAGUUCA
Long non-coding RNA from Herpailurus yagouaroundi (jaguarundi), 402 nucleotides. RefSeq lists it as uncharacterized. The transcript has 2 exons. Lineage: Eukaryota; Metazoa; Chordata; Mammalia; Carnivora; Felidae. The record is from RefSeq and is a predicted model, not a curated record.